CCUACGGGAGGCAGCAGUGGGGAAUUUUGGACAAUGGGCGCAAGCCUGAUCCAGCCAUGCCGCGUGCGGGAAGAAGGCCUUCGGGUUGUAAACCGCUUUUGUCAGGGAAGAAACGCUCUGGGCUAAUACCUCGGGGUAAUGACGGUAACCUGAAGAAUAAGCACCGGCUAACUACGUGCCAGCAGCCGCGGUAAUACGUAGGGUGCAAGCGUUAAUCGGAAUUACUGGGCGUAAAGCGUGCGCAGGCGGCUAUGCAAGACAGAUGUGAAAUCCCCGGGCUCAACCUGGGAACUGCAUUUGUGACUGCAUAACUGGAGUACGGCAGAGGGGGAUGGAAUUCCGCGUGUAGCAGUGAAAUGCGUAGAUAUGCGGAGGAACACCGAUGGCGAAGGCAAUCCCCUGGGCCUGUACUGACGCUCAUGCACGAAAGCGUGGGGAGCAAACAGGAUUAGAUACCCUGGUAGUCCACGCCCUAAACGAUGUCAACUGGUUGUUGGGAGGGUUUCUUCUCAGUAACGUAGCUAACGCGUGAAGUUGACCGCCUGGGGAUUACGGCCGCAAGGGUUUGAAAACGUCAAAGUAGUAGUACGGACGNGAGAGACGACGACGACGACGACGAGGAGGAGG
Molecule: ribosomal RNA, 627 nt
Filed under: uncultured bacterium
Lineage: Bacteria
Description: bacterial SSU rRNA
Rfam family: Bacterial small subunit ribosomal RNA
Source: RNAcentral